Molecule: ribosomal RNA, 551 nt
Filed under: uncultured Acaulospora
Lineage: Eukaryota; Fungi; Glomeromycota; Glomeromycetes; Diversisporales; Acaulosporaceae
Description: SSU rRNA
Rfam family: Eukaryotic small subunit ribosomal RNA
Source: RNAcentral
UUGGAGGGCAAGUCUGGUGCCAGCAGCCGCGGUAAUUCCAGCUCCAAUAGCGUAUAUUAAAGUUGUUGCAGUUAAAAAGCUCGUAGUUGAAUUUCGGGGUUCAUACGUUGGUCGGGCUUUUUGGUCGGUACUGGCGUAAUGGAUUCCUACCUUCUGAAUAACCGGCAUGCCAUUAAUUUGGUGCGCCGGGGAAGCAGGACUGUUACCUUGAAAAAAUUAGAGUGCUUAAAGCAGGCUAUCGCCUGAAUACAUUAGCAUGGAAUAAUGAAAUAGGACGGCAUGGUUCUAUUUUGUUGGUUUCUAGGAUCACCGUAAUGAUUAAUAGGGAUAGUUGGGGGCAUUAGUAUUCAAUUGUCAGAGGUGAAAUUCUUGGAUUUAUUGAAGACUAACUACUGCGAAAGCAUUUGCCAAGGAUGUUUUCAUUAAUCAAGAACGAAAGUUAGGGGAUCGAAGACGAUCAGAUACCGUCGUAGUCUUAACCAUAAACUAUGCCGACUAGGGAUCGGACGAAGUUAAUUUUAUAAUGACGCGUUCGGCGCCUUACGGGAAAC